AUACGGAGGGUGCGAGCGUUAAUCGGAAUUACUGGGCGUAAAGCGCGCGUAGGCGGCUUGGUCAGUCGGAUGUGAAAGCCCUGGGCUCAACCUGGGAAUUGCAUUCGAUACUGCCAAGCUAGAGUAUGGGAGAGGGAAGUGGAAUUUCCGGUGUAGCGGGGAAAUGCGUAGAUAUCGGAAAGAACACCAGUGGCGAAGGCGACUUCCUGGCCCAAUACUGACGCUGAGGUGCGAAAGCGUGGGGAGCGAACAGGAGUAGAAACCCCAGUAGUCC
This 274-nucleotide ribosomal RNA is filed under the name uncultured bacterium. RNAcentral describes it as "partial 16S ribosomal RNA". It matches the Rfam family "Bacterial small subunit ribosomal RNA", at positions 523 to 796 of the family's 1533-position model. The record is from RNAcentral.